Molecule: microRNA precursor, 95 nt
Organism: Nicotiana attenuata
Lineage: Eukaryota; Viridiplantae; Streptophyta; Magnoliopsida; Solanales; Solanaceae
Rfam family: MIR6152 microRNA precursor family
Source: Rfam
UGGACAGAUUAUUGUAUUCGACUGUAUUCACGGCAUGAAACAGGGGAUUACACUGUUUUAAAUGGAAAGUGAAUCAAUUAACAUAAUAGACUCCU